Non-coding RNA from Pelobates cultripes (western spadefoot toad), 662 nucleotides. The record is from the annotation of a GenBank genome assembly. NCBI's taxonomy places the organism in Eukaryota, Metazoa, Chordata, Amphibia, Anura, Pelobatidae.
CUCUUGGACAACAGCAAUAGCUAUAGUAUUCAAAAUAUGUAAACAAAACCCAAAAAGUUACCUGUGCGUUAUCCCUAAUCCCUGUGCACAUUUGAAUACCAAAGGGUUUUAGGGCUAUUAUCUGUGUGUGGGGGAAGCUGGGUUUGUUUGUUUUUUUUGUAUUGCACAGCCAUGUUCUGUGCUGUGACCCACCCCAUGUGUGCCCUAUUAAGUGUGCCCUAUCUCAAUGGAGUGGUCUGAGUACCAUGUGCCCCCAGCUUUAACUCUAUAACAUUGCCAUUCUGAAGGAACGUCAAUGGCUUCUUUGCAGGGUUAACCUGCCUCUAGUAGCUGUUAACAUGACAUCCACAAGAGGUGCUUCUGUAAAAUAGCAGAGUGGUUGCCAAUUGGUUGCCAACCAGAUGGUCUUAGAAUGACCACCUGAUUGGCAACGCAUUAAUCUCAAUGAUCUCAGCCAAAGAUGUGGAGCUUCAGUGAGGAUGCCAGCGCUGCAAGGUAGAAAAGGUAAGUAAAAUACUUUUUUAACCCAGGCGGUACUUACCUCCACUGCGGUCCCUAACUUAUCACCACACACAUAUUCCUAUUUAAACCGUUCUCUUCCAUGGCCUGUGUCUGUAGCCCAAGAGCACGUUCUUAUACCCUUGGUAUUUCUGGUAGGUGAC